AAAUCACUGAUUUUGUAUUUCUACAUAAAUAUGUCAUUUUUUAAAAUUUUGCAAAUUAAAUUUGAAUUUUCAGUAAACUGAUUAAAAUAGUCAUAUUCGUCUUUCUCUCUCUUUUAUUUUUCUCGUCCUUCUUUAUUUUGCUCCUUCUCCUCGUUCCUUUCUCUUUUUCUCUUUAUGUCUCCUCUCCCACCUCCUCCAUCUUCUCCUCCUCCUCACCCUCCUCUACCCUCACAUUGAUGUGGCACUACUCUCUCUUAUCUCGUCCAUAUUAAAUAUAAAAAUAUUAGAACACUGUUUUCUAUCAGCUUAAGUUUUUAGAGUACAACAGUUGUUUCAUAUAAUAUUAGAAUAGAAAGUCUUUAGUUCGAAUCACAUCAGGCUCAUAACAUUAUUAAUUUCAUUUCAUUUAAUUCAAGUUCAUGUCAUGGGUCUAUGAAAAGUCUCGAGCCCAGAUACGAGGAGGGGAGCUUAAGUUUUUAGGGUACAACAAUUGUUUCGCAGUUCCCAC
RNAcentral lists this long non-coding RNA (508 nucleotides) under Ananas comosus (pineapple). RNAcentral's name for it is "long non-coding RNA (ACOM_LNC011209)". The record is from RNAcentral. Lineage: Eukaryota; Viridiplantae; Streptophyta; Magnoliopsida; Poales; Bromeliaceae.